UGUGCUAUACCGGAGUAAGGCCCUUACGGGGAAAGAUUUAUCGCCGAAAGAUUGGCCCGCGUCUGAUUAGCUAGUUGGUGAGGUAACGGCUCACCAAGGCGACGAUCAGUAGCUGGUCUGAGAGGAUGAUCAGCCACAUUGGGACUGAGACACGGUCCAAACUCAUACGGGAGGCAGCAGUGGGGAAUAUUGGACAAUGGGCGCAAGCCUGAUCCAGCCAUGCCGCGUGAGUGAUGAAGGCCCUAGGGUUGUAAAGCUCUUUUGUGCGGGAAGAUAAUGACGGUACCGCAAGAAUAAGCCCCGGCUAACUUCGUGCCAGCAGCCGCGGUAAUACGAAGGGGGCUAGCGUUGCUCGGAAUCACUGGGGCGUAAAGGGUGCGUAGGCGGGUCUUUAAGUCAGGGGUGAAAUCCUGGAGCUCAACUCCAGAACUGCCUUUGAUACUUGAGGAUCUUGAGUUCGGGAGA
RNAcentral lists this ribosomal RNA (465 nucleotides) under uncultured bacterium. Its description in RNAcentral is "bacterial SSU rRNA". It matches the Rfam family "Bacterial small subunit ribosomal RNA", at positions 159 to 655 of the family's 1533-position model. The record is from RNAcentral.